AUGAGUGAUGUUUGUUACCCUGAUAGUCUUAUCGGGAAUAUUCCCAAUGUUUACUACUAUGCUGCUAAUAACCCGUCUGAAGCUACCAUAGCCAAGCGUCGUAGUUAUGCUAAUACAAUUAGCUAUCUGACUCCUCCGGCUGAAAACGCUGGGCUUUACAAGGGACUUAAGCAACUGAGUGAACUUAUCUCAUCAUACCAGUCCCUUAAAGACUCAGGUCGUGGGCAACAAAUUGUUAGCUCUAUUAUCAGCACGGCUAGACAAUGCAAUCUUGACAAGGAUGUAGAGCUUCCCGAAGAGGGAGAGGAAAUUUCAGCAAAAGAACGGGAUCUUGUUGUUGGAAAAGUAUAUUCCAAGAUCAUGGAGAUCGAGUCCCGACUGUUACCAUGUGGGCUUCAUGUUAUUGGUGAGCCUCCAUCUGCUAUGGAAGCGGUUGCUACAUUGGUGAAUAUUGCUGCAUUAGACCGACCUGAAGAUGGGAUUUCAUCACUGCCAUCUAUAUUAGCUGAGACUGUUGGAAGAAACAUAGAGGAUGUGUACAGAGGAAGUGACAAAGGCAUCUUGAAGGAUGUAGAGCUUCUCCGGCAAAUUACUGAGGCCUCACGUGGGGCAAUUUCUGCCUUUGUGCAGAAAACAACCAACAAGAAUGGUCAAGUUGUUGACGUGGCUGAUAAGUUAAGCUCGAUCCUUGGGUUUGGUAUCAACGAGCCGUGGAUUCAGUAUUUAUCGAACACAAAAUUUUACCGUGCAGAUAGGGAAAAGCUUAGAGUAUUAUUUGAGUUCCUAGGCGAGUGUUUAAAGCUGGUUGUUGCUGAUAAUGAGUUAGGCAGUCUGAAACAAGCAUUGGAGGGGAAAUAUGUUGAACCUGGGCCUGGUGGUGAUCCUAUUCGAAACCCAAAAGUGUUGCCAACAGGAAAGAACAUUCAU
This 927-nucleotide long non-coding RNA is filed under the name Gossypium barbadense (sea-island cotton). RNAcentral describes it as "long non-coding RNA (GBAR_LNC019393)". Lineage: Eukaryota; Viridiplantae; Streptophyta; Magnoliopsida; Malvales; Malvaceae. The record is from RNAcentral.